AUUGAACGCUGGCGGCAUGCCUUACACAUGCAAGUCGAACGGCAGCACGGGAGCAAUCCUGGUGGCGAGUGGCGAACGGGUGAGUAAUAUAUCGGAACGUGCCCAGUCGUGGGGGAUAACGUAGCGAAAGCUACGCUAAUACCGCAUACGAUUUACGGAUGAAAGCGGGGGAUCGCAAGACCUCGCGCGAUUGGAGCGGCCGAUAUCAGAUUAGCUAGUUGGUGGGGUAAAAGCCCCACCAAGGCGACGAUCUGUAGCUGGUCUGAGAGGACGACCAGCCACACUGGAACUGAGACACGGUCCAGACUCCUACGGGAGGCAGCAGUGGGGAAUUUUGGACAAUGGGCGAAAGCCUGAUCCAGCAAUGCCGCGUGCAGGGA
RNAcentral lists this ribosomal RNA (380 nucleotides) under uncultured bacterium. Its description in RNAcentral is "bacterial SSU rRNA". It matches the Rfam family "Bacterial small subunit ribosomal RNA", at positions 30 to 409 of the family's 1533-position model. The record is from RNAcentral.